GGUUUUCUCCGGCCCAGGCCCCGCCCUCGCCCCGGGCGGCCAAUCCCCGGGCGCCCUGCUCGAGGCCCCGCCUCCGGCCUGCCGUGAGAAGCUGCGCCCCCAAAGGAGCCGGGAGCGAGUGCCGGGCCCCGUGAGACCGGAGGAAAAUCAGGGCGGCGGGCGCGAGGGAGGCAACGUGCGGGAUCCAGCCGGCUCCCGCUGCGCUAGCACGCGGCCCCAGCGGUGGCUGCGGGGGUCACCGGGUCUCCGAUCCGCGUGGGAGGAUCUGUCCGUCUCUGCCGAGUCUUAGAUCCGCGUGAGAGACCUGUCCGUGUCUUCUGGGUCUCAGAUCCUCGUGGGGGACCUGUCAUAUCUGCGGUGGGUGGGGGGGGUGUCAGAUCCGCGGUGGGUUUAGGGACACCCAUCCUUGUCUGUCCACCUCGCCGCCGGGCCUCCCUAGGCAUUCUCUGUGUAGAGUCCUGGGUCCCCUGGCCUCGCUGACCGCUGCCUGCCUAACUGGCUUCUCCUCUGGGAGAACCUCUGACCCUAAGGAACCUGCCAAGGAACCCGAUGAGGCCACCGCCAUUACCCCGAGGCCCGGCUCUGUGCUCUGCUCAUGCGCUGGAGACGUUGAUUGUUCUUACUUGGUUACAUCCAAAGUAUUGUCCUGGGUUAUACAUUUUCCCAUCAUUGUAUCCAUAAACAAAGGCACCCCUCCCCGCCAUAAAAUGUGGCAUUUGUCUUUGGGGCAAAAUAUCCCUUUUGCGACAACACCCACACCGUGGAAAGCAAGUGCUGCUCCCCCAGAGGCAUAACCAAGCCAGAAGCCUCUGGAACAAGCUUGCCCCUGUCACCCAGUCAGCCAGUCAUCUCCUCCCGGAGCUGUGAAAUGGAACCAUCCCACCGCUGCUCCAUGAGCCACCCCAAACCGGUUCCCGGUCCUUAUCCAGACGCUGUACAAUUCUUGCCCAGAGUCUCUCACGGAGACACCGUCAGCUGACAGCUGAGUCGAGUAUCAUCGGAAGGUUCUGGCUGGGCAUCCAGGAUGACGUCUUUAUUCACACGUCUACAUUUCAGCUAGAAGGGUGGAAGCAUUGGGCAUAGCUCAGGCUGCCUCCGAACACAUGAUUUCUCAUAAGUGAGCACUCAAGACACGAAAUAGAAGCCAAUCUCUUAAAGCUUGUAUAUGGACUCUGGCAAAGCCUUGCUCUAUUGCUAAUGGCCAAGCACACAGAACCCAGCCAAACCAAGGCGGGAAGAGGAGGAACACUGGUCCCACCUUUAGAUGGAAAUGGUGCCAAAGAAUCUGUGACCAUCAUUCUUUAAAAGUGAGAGAAACAAAGUUUCACAUGCAUCUUCACAAAGAUCGCACAGCCCAUAAUAGACAGUACCAUACAUCUGCAGGUGAUCCGUGAUACUUAAAACCAACUAAGUGAGCGCUGGGGAAAUAGCUCUGUUGGCAAAGUGUUUUGUGAGAAGCAUGAAGACCUGAGUUCAAGCCCUGGCAGCACCCACGUAAAAAAAAAAGAAAGAAAAAAAAGGAAAAGAAAAGAAAAACCCAGGCAUCGUGGCACACACCUACAAUCCAGGCCCUGGAGAAAUGAAGACAGGAGGCACUCCAUCUUGGGGCUUGCUGUCCAGACAGUCUCACAGAAUCAGCUCUAUGUUCAGUGAGAAAUUAUGUGUCAAAAAAUGAGAUGGUGAAUGAUUGAAAGAGACACCCACAUAGACUUCUGACCUCCACGGGGUUGCUCACACACAUGUGCGUGCACCCACCCACAUGUACCCACACAUAAAGACAUGCAUACAUGAAUAGCCAGAAGAUGGUAUGUUGCCAAGUGAUGUGCUCACACUCUCUCCCUUCCUCUCUGUCUCUCUCUCUUCCUCUGCUCCCUCUCUCUUUCUUAAAUAAAGAUAAGAGGAUGGGAGAUUAAAAUAGGAGGGACUUGGGGGGAGUAAAGACAGAAAUAUUUUGCUAAGUUUUGAUUUUUGCCUCAGCAUCUGGAGUUUCUCUUUGAUCUCUAACGUCUAUCUUUGAUCUGAGAGCUUCCAGAGAUAAUUUGGUGUCUGGAAGUCCUUAGGAUCCCAGAAUGUAAAUUUAAUAAAUAUUUAUUUAACAUCUGGGCUGUGAGUCUGACAGGCACUGUGCUGGGCUGGGGCUUACUCUGGUGACUCCAGUUACAUUUAGCAUGGGAAGCCGAGAUGCAACCAAGCAAUUCUAAUGCAAUGUGAGAACACGCCUUGAUAAAAGAAACUCAGGUGUUACAGGAACACAGAGUAGGACUAAGGACCUAGACUGGGAUUCGAUAGGCUCUAGUUAAGGAAUGGCAGGGCUGGACGGUUGCACUGCUGUGUGUUGUACGUGUGUACGUAUCUGUAUGUGUAAGGAUGGGGGAGCUAGUUUGGAAGCAGCAUUUGCCCCUAGACAGAGGAAGCUGGUAAAUAUCUGUGCACUGGGGAAUCAGAACAAGAGCAUAAGACAAAGGCCUCACUCCCAGUGAGGAGAACUCAUCAUGGAACAGAGACCCAGGGGACAGGGAGCAGAGCACAGGAGAAUUCUAAGGACUCACACACAUUGUCAGAAUCAGAGAAGCUGAUGUGAUCCCCUUCUUCCCCAGGGUACAUGUCCAUGGGAGCUAGAUGAGUGUUGCUCUGCCCAUAUCCCCAAGGGUUGCUUCUAAUUUGAUGUGUGUCAAAGUACGUGGGCUUUCUCCAAGAGUUGUAAUUUUAUUUGAUUAUUUAUUUUGAGGCUUAUUUAUAUGUGGAUCUAGCAAAUAGACACAUCUUUGGCUAUUGUAAGCAAAACAUGAUUAGUUUUAUCAUUAUCAAGGGUUUUCUUAUUAUGAAAACAUAAUAAUUAGAAAGAGCUAGGACCACAGUCAAGAAUUCAGGGGCUGCACCUACAAUAUCUUUCCUCUCUCUUCCUAGCUUGUCCCCCCGCACCCCCCUCCAUCUCUUAUUGUACAUCUACCUUUAAAAAAAAAAAAAAGAAAAUCUAGGGAAGAUACAGAGGUGAACACAGUCAAAGUACAGGUUAUCUGUGGAUGAAGAUG
Non-coding RNA from Peromyscus maniculatus bairdii (prairie deer mouse), 3032 nucleotides. The record is from RefSeq and is a predicted model, not a curated record. Lineage: Eukaryota; Metazoa; Chordata; Mammalia; Rodentia; Cricetidae.